Molecule: ribosomal RNA, 500 nt
Filed under: uncultured bacterium
Lineage: Bacteria
Description: bacterial SSU rRNA
Rfam family: Bacterial small subunit ribosomal RNA
Source: RNAcentral
AGAGUUUGAUCCUGGCUCAGAAUGAACGCUGGCGGCGUGCCUAACACAUGCAAGUCGAGCGAGAAAGUCUCUUCGGAGAUAAGUACAGCGGCGGACGGGUGAGUAACGCGUGGGAAUUUACCCUUUAGUGAAGAAUACCUCUGAGAAAUCAGGGUUAAUACUGCAUACGUCCCUACGGGGAGAAAGGUGGCCUCUUGCUGCCGCUAAAGGAUAAGCUUGCGUACUAUUAGCUAGUUGGUGAGGUAAAGGCUCACCAAGGCGAUGAUGGUUAGCCGGCCUGAGAGGGUGUACGGCCACACUGGAACUUAGACACGGUCCAGACUCCUACGGGAGGCAGCAGUGAGGAAUAUUGCGCAAUGGGCGAAAGCCUGACGCAGCGACGCCGCGUGGAGGAUGAAGGUCUUCGGAUUGUAAACUCCUGUUAAGUGGGAAGAAAGACCUAUUUCUAAUACAGAUAGGGGAUGACGGUACCAUUAGAGAAAGCACCGGCUAACUUCGUG